AGGACGAACGCUGGCGGCGUGCCUAACACAUGCAAGUCGAACGCGCUCCAUUCGGUAGCAAUACUGAUGAAGAGUGAGUGGCGAACGGGUGAGUAACACAUGAGCAACCUGCCCCGAAGACUGGGACAACACCGGGAAACCGGUGCUAAUACCGGAUAUCCCUAUCGGACCGCAUGAUCUGAUAAGGAAAUGGAUUCCGCUUCGGGAGGGGCUCGUGGCCUAUCAGCUAGUUGGUGAGGUAACGGCUCACCAAGGCAUCGACGGGUAGCUGGUCUGAGAGGACGAUCAGCCACACUGGGACUGAGACACGGCCCAGACUCCUACGGGAGGCAGCAGUGGGGAAUCUUGCGCAAUGGGCGAAAGCCUGACGCAGCAACGCCGCGUGGAGGACGAAGGCUUUCUGAGUUGUAAACUCCUUUCAGCAGGGACGAUAGUGACGGUACCUGCAGAAGAAGCACCGGCCAACUACGCGCCAGCA
Molecule: ribosomal RNA, 478 nt
Filed under: uncultured bacterium
Lineage: Bacteria
Description: SSU rRNA
Rfam family: Bacterial small subunit ribosomal RNA
Source: RNAcentral